GUAGACUGGAGAGGUUACCAGCCCGGCCUCAUAAGCCGCGUACAUGGGUUCGAAUCUCAUCCGCUACA
This 68-nucleotide transfer RNA is filed under the name Caudoviricetes sp. Its description in RNAcentral is "tRNA-Met". It matches the Rfam family "tRNA". Rfam says of the family: Transfer RNA (tRNA) molecules are approximately 80 nucleotides in length. Their secondary structure includes four short double-helical elements and three loops (D, anti-codon, and T loops). Lineage: Duplodnaviria; Heunggongvirae; Uroviricota; Caudoviricetes. The record is from RNAcentral.